This 104-nucleotide ribosomal RNA is filed under the name uncultured bacterium. RNAcentral's name for it is "partial 16S ribosomal RNA". It matches the Rfam family "Bacterial small subunit ribosomal RNA", at positions 1379 to 1482 of the family's 1533-position model. The record is from RNAcentral.
CCUUGUACACACCGCCCGUCACACCAUGGGAGUUGGCUUUACCUGAAGACGGUGCGCUAACCGCAAGGGGGCAGCCGGCCACGGUAGGGUCAGUGACUGGGGUG